Ictalurus punctatus (channel catfish) is the source of this 1231-nucleotide long non-coding RNA. The record is from Ensembl. Lineage: Eukaryota; Metazoa; Chordata; Actinopteri; Siluriformes; Ictaluridae.
AAAGACUUCAAUCUGAUGCCAGACAAGAACGAAGCCCCGGACCGGCCCGGAGAGGAGAGACGCACACGCAGCGCUACUCUACACCCGCGUAACGAUCGGCACGGCCGAGAGGUCAAAGGUCAGCGUGUUCCGUGGCAGUAAGGGUCCAGUACAAGCCCGGUAUCUUCACCUCAGAGACAUGUUUUGGUGCUGAGAGAGGGAUCUGGAGUCGGUGUAGAUCCUCCAUCAUGAUGAAGUGUAAUUCAAUGACGUCCAUUUAAACCGACGCGUUUGGUUCCCGCGUGAUCAGACGGUGAUUAGACUCCAGUCGGGCGUUGCUCUGGACGCUGCAGCGGGAACAUUAAAGAGCUGUACAUUCGGAACGUUCACUAACGAGCGUGUUCGUCAAGCCUGUUCAUUUCUUCACUCAUACGAUAGGGGUCCAGAGCAGCUCGGGACGUGCUGGAGAUCCACCGGAGAGUCACGGAGUGAACGAAUCCGCAGCAACCGCAUGAUGCAAUCGUUUCAACACGCAGCGGAAUCUCAGAGGAGCGUCGCACCAUGUGGAACCCAGGCCACGAACUGAGGCUGUGUGUGUGUGUGUGUGUGUGUGUGUGUGUGUGUACCACAGAGAGUUGAGAUGUUUCCCUGUACUGAGAACAGGAGCAGAAGACAUGUUUACUCCUGUCUCAGUGAGCAGUGUGUACAGGAGGAAGGAGCAGAACACACGUGCUGUACGUACGAGGAGGUGAUGACAUCAUCACAGUGUAGAUGUGAUUGUAUCAGUGCGUUUUCCUAUCACACUCCUGCUUUACAUACGUGUGUGUGUGUGUGUGUGUGUGUGUGUGUGGAUACACACACUCUAUCUCUCUCUCACACUCUCUCUCACUCUCUCUACGUCUCUGUUACUUGUCUAUCAGUCUCUGAGGUUUUUGAGAGUCUCACUGUCUGUCUGUCUGUCUGUGUUGUUUAGGGUGUCUAUCUGUCUCUCUCUCUACAUCUGUCUGUCUGUUUCUCCAUCUGUUUGGGUGUCUCACUAGCUAUAUGUCAUCUCUCCCACCUCUCUAACUCUCUAUCAACUCCCCAGCUGUCCGUCUCUCUCUUUCUCUGUACCACUUCCUGUCCCCCACUCUGUCCGUCUCUAUAUCUCUGUACCACUUCCUGUCCCCCACUCUGUCCGUCUCUUUCUCCGACUCUCUCUCCGGUAUCUCAGAGUUAGAGGUGAGGGGGUGUGAUUCUCAAGCUGUUCCAC